RNAcentral lists this ribosomal RNA (309 nucleotides) under Lactiplantibacillus plantarum. RNAcentral's name for it is "bacterial SSU rRNA". It matches the Rfam family "Bacterial small subunit ribosomal RNA", at positions 64 to 358 of the family's 1533-position model. Lineage: Bacteria; Bacillati; Bacillota; Bacilli; Lactobacillales; Lactobacillaceae. The record is from RNAcentral.
GUAUUGAUUGGUGCUUGCAUCAUGAUUUACAUUUGAGUGAGUGGCGAACUGGUGAGUAACACGUGGGAAACCUGCCCAGAAGCGGGGGAUAACACCUGGAAACAGAUGCUAAUACCGCAUAACAACUUGGACCGCAUGGUCCGAGCUUGAAAGAUGGCUUCGGCUAUCACUUUUGGAUGGUCCCGCGGCGUAUUAGCUAGAUGGUGGGGUAACGGCUCACCAUGGCAAUGAUACGUAGCCGACCUGAGAGGGUAAUCGGCCACAUUGGGACUGAGACACGGCCCAAACUCCUACGGGAGCAGCAGUAGG